CGGAGUGUAGCGCAGCCUGGUAGCGCACCUCGUUCGGGACGAGGGGGUCGCAGGUUCGAAUCCUGCUACUCCGACCA
This 77-nucleotide transfer RNA is filed under the name Mesorhizobium denitrificans. RNAcentral's name for it is "Mesorhizobium sp. LA-28 tRNA-Pro". It matches the Rfam family "tRNA". Rfam says of the family: Transfer RNA (tRNA) molecules are approximately 80 nucleotides in length. The record is from RNAcentral. RNAcentral also lists the same sequence under 1 other name. Lineage: Bacteria; Pseudomonadati; Pseudomonadota; Alphaproteobacteria; Hyphomicrobiales; Phyllobacteriaceae.